AUUAGGGUUAGGGUUCUAGUUCUGCCGGCGGCGGCGUGAUCGGAGAUCGGGUGCGAUGGCCAUGGAGGAGCCGAAGACCGUCAUCCCGGAGUCCGUGAUCAAGAAGCAGAAGAGAGCGGAGCAAUGGGCCCUCGUCAAGCAGGAGGAGCUCGCCGAGAAGAAGAAGAAGAGCAGCGAGAAUCGCAAGGUUAUCUUCAGCCGCGCUCAGCAAUAUGCGAAGGAAUAUGAAUCUCAGGAGAAGGAACUCGUGCAGCUUAAGCGAGAGGCUAGGUUGAAGGGCGGAUUCUAUGUCAGCCCGGAAGCCAAGUUGCUGUUCAUCAUCAGAAUUCGAGGUAUCAAUGCGAUGCACCCGAAAACACGAAAGAUUCUUCAGCUCUUGCGCUUAAGACAGAUUUUCAAUGGCGUGUUCCUGAAAGUUAACAAGGCGACUGUGAACAUGCUUCAACGUGUCGAGCCAUAUGUGACUUAUGGGUAUCCCAAUUUGAAGAGUGUUAGGGAGUUGAUUUACAAGAGGGGUUAUGGGAAGUUGAACGCACAGAGGAUUCCGUUGACUGAUAACUCUAUUAUCGAGCAGGGGCUUGGAAAGCAUGAUAUCCUGUGCAUUGAGGAUCUUGUUCAUGAGAUCAUGACAGUUGGGCCGCACUUUAAGGAGGCAAACAACUUCUUAUGGCCCUUCAAGCUUAAGGCGCCACUUGGUGGAAUGAAGAAGAAGCGGAACCAUUAUGUUGAAGGAGGGGAUGCCGGAAACCGCGAGGACUACAUCAAUGAGCUCAUCAGGAGGAU
This 783-nucleotide unclassified non-coding RNA is filed under the name Hevea brasiliensis (rubber tree). The record is from RNAcentral. Lineage: Eukaryota; Viridiplantae; Streptophyta; Magnoliopsida; Malpighiales; Euphorbiaceae.